This 78-nucleotide non-coding RNA is filed under the name Hoeflea sp. IMCC20628. RNAcentral's name for it is "Alpha-proteobacteria SAM riboswitch aptamer". It matches the Rfam family "Alpha-proteobacteria SAM riboswitch aptamer". From Rfam's summary of the family: This family is a riboswitch found predominantly in alpha-proteobacteria that binds S-adenosyl methionine (SAM). This SAM riboswitch is located upstream of the metA and metC genes in Agrobacterium tumefaciens, and other methionine and SAM biosynthesis genes in other alpha-proteobacteria. The record is from Rfam by way of RNAcentral. Lineage: Bacteria; Pseudomonadati; Pseudomonadota; Alphaproteobacteria; Hyphomicrobiales; Rhizobiaceae. RNAcentral also lists the same sequence under 1 other name.
UCCAGCCAUUGUGGUGAUUUGGCCGGCCGGCUUGCAGCCACGUUAAACAACUUGCUAAAUGGCCGACGGGAUUGCUUC